UAGGGAAUCUUCGGCAAUGGACGAAAGUCUGACCGAGCAACGCCGCGUGAGUGAAGAAGGUUUUCGGAUCGUAAAACUCUGUUGUUAGAGAAGAACAAGGACGUUAGUAACUGAACGUCCCCUGACGGUAUCUAACCAGAAAGCCACGGCUAACUACGUGCCAGCAGCCGCGGUAAUACGUAGGUGGCAAGCGUUGUCCGGAUUUAUUGGGCGUAAAGCGAGCGCAGGCGGUUUCUUAAGUCUGAUGUGAAAGCCCCCGGCUCAACCGGGGAGGGUCAUUGGAAACUGGAAGACUUGAGUGCAGAAGAGGAGAGUGGAAUUCCAUGUGUAGCGGUGAAAUGCGGAGAUAUAUAGGGGAGAACCAGUGGCGAAGGCGGCUCUCUGGUCUGUAACUGACGCUGAGGCUCGAAAGCGUGGGGAGCAAACAGG
This 429-nucleotide ribosomal RNA is filed under the name Gemmatimonadota bacterium. Its description in RNAcentral is "Gemmatimonadetes bacterium partial 16S ribosomal RNA". It matches the Rfam family "Bacterial small subunit ribosomal RNA", at positions 355 to 776 of the family's 1533-position model. Lineage: Bacteria; Pseudomonadati; Gemmatimonadota. The record is from RNAcentral.